ACUACGGGGGGCUGCAGUGGGGAAUAUUGCACAAUGGGCGCAAGCCUGAUGCAGCCAUGCCGCGUGUGUGAAGAAGGCCUUCGGGUUGUAAAGCACUUUCAGCGGGGAGGAAGGCGUUAAGGUUAAUAACCUUGGCGAUUGACGUUACCCGCAGAAGAAGCACCGGCUAACUCCGUGCCAGCAGCCGCGGUAAUACGGAGGGUGCAAGCGUUAAUCGGAAUUACUGGGCGUAAAGCGCACGCAGGCGGUCUGUCAAGUCGGAUGUGAAAUCCCCGGGCUCAACCUGGGAACUGCAUUCGAAACUGGCAGGCUAGAGUCUUGUAGAGGGGGGUAGAAUUCCAGGUGUAGCGGUGAAAUGCGUAGAGAUCUGGAGGAAUACCGGUGGUGAAGGCGGCCCCCUGGACAAAGACUGACGCUCAGGUGCGAAAGCGUGGGGAGCAAACAGGAUUAGAUACCCCAGUAGUC
This 465-nucleotide ribosomal RNA is filed under the name uncultured Klebsiella sp. RNAcentral describes it as "bacterial SSU rRNA". It matches the Rfam family "Bacterial small subunit ribosomal RNA", at positions 338 to 795 of the family's 1533-position model. Lineage: Bacteria; Pseudomonadati; Pseudomonadota; Gammaproteobacteria; Enterobacterales; Enterobacteriaceae. The record is from RNAcentral.